AAAGUGAGGUUUGUAGGGGGCAGGGCCAGGAAGAGGGGAAGGUCUGGGAGGACCUGGAGGGCGCAGCCCAGGGACAAGGAGGGGCAGGAGGGAGCCUGGACUUUGGAGGAUGGGGAAGGCAGGCCAGGGCCCGGAGUGGGUGAAGACUUCUCAGGACUAGGCCAGUUACAGCUAUGUUCUGGGCAAGGAGACGUUCCUCAUCCUUUGGCCAGCAGAUGGAGAUGCCAGCAAGAAAGAAUUGCGGGACCAACUGGAGGAAUUUUUGGAAUAUAUGCGCACCCACGGCUGCCAGUCCUGAGCCUCUUCUGCUUUCAGGGAGGUGUCAUCAGGCAGCUCUGGGCCACUGGGUUUAACCCCAAAUAAAGAGCACAGGAUAUGACACCCAAACCCUGGA
Long non-coding RNA from Homo sapiens (human), 394 nucleotides. Ensembl annotates it as complement component 3 precursor pseudogene. Its record names the gene C3P1. Lineage: Eukaryota; Metazoa; Chordata; Mammalia; Primates; Hominidae. The record is from Ensembl.